Molecule: long non-coding RNA, 4942 nt
Filed under: Rattus norvegicus (Norway rat)
Lineage: Eukaryota; Metazoa; Chordata; Mammalia; Rodentia; Muridae
Description: long non-coding RNA NONRATT020387
Source: RNAcentral
ACAGAUGUAUGUCAUCUCUGAAGUACACUGAGAAAGUACACAGAACAAAAAUAAUUUUGAUUUUCUUUUUUGGGGAGGGUAAGUUAAUUACCGACUACUUCAGGUUCUCAGUUGUUCAUACAAAACUUCUGGGGUAGCACCCCAUAACCAUCACCAAUUUUUCUGGUACAAAAUGGUGACUCUUCACUAAAUGAAACCAUACAUUGGCCUCUUGUCUAUUCAGCUCCUUUUCCUGCUCCCCAAAUUUAAAGCAAGCUAAGUGAAAAGCCAUUAUACAGAGGGAGUAGGAGCCUGCCAGUCUGUAUUUUUGUGAUGAGAUGUGCUAGCUUCAGCUUUAAGGAUGCUACAGAGAGUUGAGAUGAGUUCUCUGAAAAUGGAGUAAAAAAGCGAUUUUUUUGUAUUGCUUUGUCUUCUAGUGUUGGCGAUGGUGGACACAUUCAGCCCCGGUACAGGGAGUUUCCCCAGCUUACCCAGUCCCAGGUGAUCCAUGGUGAGGUCUUAAGCUCACUCAUGUGGUUCUGGAUUCUUUGGAGAUUUUGGCAUGACUCGGAUGCUGUGCUGGGUCACUUUUCAUAUCCAGAUCCAUCGAAGUGGACAGAUGAAGAACUGGGGGUCCCUCCUGACGACGAGGACUGAAAGUGUAAACUCCUCUCUGUACGAGAGCAAGGUGAGACAAUUCAAGAAAUUACAGCCCUCAUUAAAGGUGUAAAUUAAAGUGGCUUGCCAAAAUGAGGAACCGAGUUCUGUUUCUGAUGACAAGUGUCCUUUAUUUCCUAUUCUCUAACUGCUUGCUGGUCCAAGUGGUUUGUGCCCUUUCAGCUGAUCCUCUUGGGUCCCCUGGGAUGUAGGUAGGUAUUCUCUGAGGCUAUCAAAGAACAGAUGGUUCCUUGCUAAGCAUCACACACUGCAUAGUUAGGUUACGUUGUGCUUAUACAUAUAAGGACCAUGCCUCCGCCACGUGUGCCCACAGGUGAUGUGACCAUUGGAUGUGACCAAUCCAGCUUGAUUGUUGCCCCAGAGGUUAGGGGUCAGGAGAGUCCAUUGCUUUCAAGUAGCCUCUGGUAGGACUCAGUCACACCUGACUUAGAUAAAGUUUUCUGUUUUUUUCUAAAAUGUUGUUCCAAAGUUCCCUUCCACUUUCUGUGGCACCAGAGCAGUUAUGAGGAAGUCCUCCAUCUACAGAGAAAAGUCUGCUGUCAGGUACCUAAUCACUCAUCAGGUCGGUCACUUUGGCCAUCGGAACAGUGCCAGGAUUGGGGGUGGGAUGGAGUUCACACCUAUAAUGUCAGCCUUAUGAAGAGUGAGGCCAGGGGAUGACAACCUGUCUCAAAAUCACCCAGACAAAAAGAUUUUUUUAGAGUACUUUAAGAAGGAAUGACAGGUGGUAAGUCAGCAAUCAGAAUUGUGAGAGAAGUCCACUGGAUGCUGUGGUAGGGCAGUGCCUUAGGGUUUCCACUGCUGUGAACAGACACCAUGACCAAGGCAACUCUUACAAAGGACGACAUUUUUUUUUUCUUUUUCUUUUUUUCGGAGCUGGGGAUCGAACCCAGGGCCUUGCACUUGCUAGGCAAGCGCUCUACUGCUGAGCUAAAUCCCCAACCCCAAAGGACGACAUGUAAUUGGGGCUGGUUUACAGUUUCAGAGGUUCAGUCCAUUAUCAAGGUGGGAAGCACGGCUUCCAGGCAGACAUGGUGCUGGAGGAGGAGCUGAGGGAUCUACAUCUUGAUCUGAAGGCAGCAGGAGACUGUGUGCCGUUCUGGACAUAGCUUGAGCACUGGAGACCUCAGAGCCUACCCCACAGUGACACAUUUCCUCUAACAAGGCCAUACCUCCUAAUAGUGCAACUCCUCAUGGGCCAUACAUUCAAACACAAGAGUCUGGGUCCAAACCUUUUCAUAUUACAGAUGAUUUAGCUGUACUGAGUAAGUAAGGUCUAUAGAAGGUAUGUUUAAGAACAAAAUGACUUACCAAGGUCUAGAGGAAGAUAAGGUUCUGUUUGAGAGACUGUCUGAGGCGGCUGUGGACAAGGAAGGAAAGAGUGGGACUAGGUGGUAAUUGUAAGCUUCCGUCAGUCAUUACGUAUCCCCAACCAACUUGUGGCAGGCUUCAUACUGUAAUACGACAGGUUUUCCUAUAACACAGAUAACUACUUCCUUUUCUUCGGUUACCACAGAGACCACAGUAGCAGUAGAAGCUGAAGUAAGUGGACAGCUGCCUUUCUCACUGGCAGAGUCCUAGCUAUAGCACUAGGGACAUGUCCAUGCGGCUGUGUUCCCAUCUGUGUGAGUGUGAGCAAACUCAACCAGUCCAGCAGAGGGGUUCUCACUCACGGCAGUAGAGCCACUUAAAGUCACAACAGUGAGUUCAAGCAGGAUAAUCCCGGUAGUUCUUUACCUUAAAGGCAAAAAACAGUAGAGUUAUGGGAAGAUGGGGUGGAAAUUUGCCAAGCUCUUCCUGUUAGUAGAAAAAAAAACAAAAAAAACAAAACCAAACAACAAAACAUGGCCAGUGGCUGCAUUCCAAACUGGUUUACCUACCUACUUGUGAGUCUCCAUGUACAACCUGAGAGAUAAAGCACUUCAAGCUCUGGGGGUGUUACCAGGUGUGACCCUAAGUCUGUUUUACUUGCUCUUAGUGUGGGGAAGUACUCAACUUUAAUCUUGUGCCUUAAUUUAUUCCUCAUUUGUAAAACAGUUUAGACUAUGCCCAGCAGGAAGGGAAUAUUCUCUAAACCAGUGGUUCUCAACUUUCCUAAUGCUGCAGCCCUUUAAUAGGAUUAUUCAUGUGGUGACCCUCAGCCACAGAAUUUUUUCACUGCCACUUCAUAACUGUAGUUUUGCUACUGUUGAUUUGUAAUGCAAAUAUCUGUAUUUUCCUGAUGUUUUUGAUGACCCCUAUGAAGGGGUUGUCCGACCCCUCAAAGGUCGAGAACCCAUAUAGGUCAAGGACCACUACUCUAAAUAAAAGCAACGGUUUACUUUUGUGACGAAUAUUUUUAGAAUAUUUCAUCUAACAUUUCUGACCACCCUGGGAUCGUGGCGUGACUUUUGCAGGAACAGGAUGGCUCUGUUUUACUACUACCUUGCCAUCUGCAGGAUACAAGUGUGUACUGUCAGGGAACCAUGAGCAGCCCAAGCUGCUGUGAGGACCUAAGGAGCCUCCACUUGCUGUCAUUUUCUCUGACUUACCUGAUUGAUAAGGACAGCAAGUGCAAGUGCAGCACUGUCUGGCAAACAUCCUCUUCUGGGAAGUCAACACUCUAGGUUUCAUUACAAACCAAUUGUGUAUUGAUGGGUUCUGACUGCUUAGGUAAGGCACAGCCUUCAGUUUCCUGGGAUGAAGGCUCUCUUUCUAAUGACUCUCAGCUAGUAUUGUGAGUUUGGGAGAUAUUCAAUCCAGGCAGUAAGAUACACUGAUCACAGCCCUUUAGAAGAGCUGGCAUGAUAGAGAUCUUUGUGAAGGCAUUUUGAAAGGUAAAUAAAACAUCUGCUUUUUAUUGGACACUUAUUUACAUUUCAAAUGUUAUCCCCUUUCUCCUCUGCAAACCCCCUAUCCCAUCCCCCAUGCCCCUGCUUCUAUGAGGGUGCUCCCAUACCCACCCACCCACUCCCACCUCACCGCCCUGGCAUUCCCCUACACUGGGGCAUCGAGCUCACAGGACCAAGGAUUUCUCCUCCCACUGAUGUCAGAUAAGGUCAUCCUCUGCUACAUAUGCAGCUGGAGCCAUGCAAACCAUUCAUAUUCUGGAGAUGAGUUGUAUGGAAAACUUCCAUGUAUGAUACAUAGAAAAAUAACUUUUGUAAUUAGACAUGGUCAUUUAGGAAGCCAGUUUGUAAAUACAGAAUAGGUUUUUUUCAGCUGAGGAAACUGUAGUUCAGAAAUGCUAAGUCCUGACAGUAUGUGUAGGUUGGAGAGGCACACACAAUGGAAAGGUCAGAAGUAGAUCCCUCAGGCCGUGCCCUCCUGCCAAAUACCCUUCGCACUGUUCUUGGGGUUCCCAGGGAUGGCGCUUUAUUUAUUUAUUUAUUUUUAAAAAGAUUUAUUUUUAUAAAGAUUUAUCUUUAAAAAGAUUUAUAUUUAACGUAUAUGCACUGUCACUAUCUUCGGACACACCAGAAGAGGGCAUCAGAUCCCACUACAGAUGGUUGUGAGCCACCAUGUGGUUGCUGGGAAUUGAACUCAGGACCUCUGGAAGAUCAGUCAGUGCUCUUAACCGCUGAGCCAUCUCUCCAGCCCCCAGGGAUGGCGCUUUAAAGCUAUCUUUUUUUCUGGAAACUGUCUACUAGGUUGAUGUAUUUUAUCCAAAGUUAUUUCAAGUGUUUUUCAAAAUAAAAGAUUCUGAAAUUAAAUGCAUAAAGUUGAUGGGUUAACCAGCACCGAGUGAGCACAGUUGUUCACUUUCAGAUGUGUUUGUGGACAAAAAUCUGUACUAUAGAAAGGCUGUGAUUGCAAGCUGGGUCACAAGGGGAAAACAGUUCUGAGAUCAUUUCUACACAUCCACUUGCUUUAAAAUUUUAAAUUAGACCUUCAACUGUGUGUUUACACAGAGAACAGUUACUUUAAACCAAAUAUGCAGGUCACAACACUGUUAAAUGUUUGAGGGUCUUUCUUCACCAAAACUGGAUGAAAAGUCUACUCCAAGCUGGCUUUACUUUACCAUGCAGGAAUCUGGCCAACUUUAACUCCACCCAUCAAGGAACCAUCAGCAUUGUGAAACCAUGUGUGCAUUUUAGCCUGGAAAUGACUGGCAGCAGCUGGUGCCUUCUAUUAUUGGAUGGCAAUGCUAGAAAAAUAAUCUUAAGGUUUCUCCAUGCAGUCAAUCUUUAUUAUAGCAGUAUUCGCAUAUUCACAUCAAUUACAUAGCACUUUUUUGGGGGCCUUUUUUUUUUUAUAAUACAGAGUUUUUAAAUAACUUUACACAGAAAUAAAUUUCUUCAAUUUG